RNAcentral lists this ribosomal RNA (315 nucleotides) under uncultured Porphyromonadaceae bacterium. RNAcentral describes it as "bacterial SSU rRNA". It matches the Rfam family "Bacterial small subunit ribosomal RNA", at positions 28 to 334 of the family's 1533-position model. Lineage: Bacteria; Pseudomonadati; Bacteroidota; Bacteroidia; Bacteroidales; Porphyromonadaceae. The record is from RNAcentral.
GAUGAACGCUAGCGACAGGCCUAACACAUGCAAGUCGAGGGGCAGCACAUGAUGCAGCAAUGCGGAUGGUGGCGACCGGCGCACGGGUGAGUAACACGUAUGCAACCUGCCUUCAACCGGAGGAUAACCCGUUGAAAGACGGACUAAUACUCCAUAACACAGGGGUCCCGCAUGGGGAUAUUUGUUAAAGAUUAAUCGGUUGAAGAUGGGCAUGCGUUCCAUUAGCUUGUUGGCGGGGUAACGGCCCACCAAGGCAACGAUGGAUAGGGGAACUGAGAGGUUUAUCCCCCACACUGGAACUGAGACACGGUCCAG